GACGAACGCUGGCGGCGUGCCUAAUACAUGCAAGUUGAGCGAUGAAGAUUGGUGCUUGCACCAAUUUGAAGAGCAGCGAACGGGUGAGUAACGCGUGGGGAAUCUGCCUUUGAGCGGGGGACAACAUUUGGAAACGAAUGCUAAUACCGCAUAAAAACUUUAAACAUAAGUUUUAGGUUUGAAAGAUGCAAUUGCAUCAUUCAAAGAUGAUCCCGCGUUGUAUUAGCUAGUUGGUGAGGUAAAGGCCCACCAAGGCGAUGAUACAUAGCCGACCUGAGAGGGUGAUCGGCCAAAUUGGGACUGAGACACGGCCCAAACUCCUACGGGAGGCAGCAGUAGGGAAUCUUCGGCAAUGGACGAAGGUCUGACCGAGCAACGCCGCGUGAGUGAAGAAGGUUUUCGGAUCGUAAAACUCUGUUGGUAGAGAAGAACGUUGGUGAGAGUGGAAAGCUCAUCAAGUGACGGUAACUACCCAGAAAGGGACGGCUAACUACGUG
RNAcentral lists this ribosomal RNA (497 nucleotides) under uncultured bacterium. RNAcentral describes it as "partial 16S ribosomal RNA". It matches the Rfam family "Bacterial small subunit ribosomal RNA", at positions 28 to 507 of the family's 1533-position model. The record is from RNAcentral.